CUCUCACUCGCCGAAAUCAAGUCCUCCUCCGGCCCAUUGCGGUCGUCUAUUCACGCCGCCACUGACAUCUAAUUAUCUGCUGGUUACUCCUUUUACUCCAGCCGAGAAACUUAAGGUUGGAUGACUCUCUACGUGUUGAUAUUAUCAGCUGUAUCGACAAUGAUUCCUUGUGAGUUGAUUAUGUAUUGGAUGUAUAAUUUUAUAUGUAAGAGAGAGAGAGAGAGAGAGAGACAUGAUAUGUAUAAAAAAACAUGUGUUUGAUGUGUUUAUACUGUAAAGUGGUAUGCGUGAAUGAUUAUAAAUUGUUUUGAGCAUAGUUUAUUCGUUUGUAUAUAUUGGUUGGCUUGUAUCGGAC
This is a long non-coding RNA of Asparagus officinalis (garden asparagus), 355 nucleotides long. RefSeq lists it as uncharacterized. The record is from RefSeq and is a predicted model, not a curated record. The transcript has 3 exons. NCBI's taxonomy places the organism in Eukaryota, Viridiplantae, Streptophyta, Magnoliopsida, Asparagales, Asparagaceae.